Molecule: ribosomal RNA, 644 nt
Filed under: Rhodococcus sp. (in: high G+C Gram-positive bacteria)
Lineage: Bacteria; Bacillati; Actinomycetota; Actinomycetes; Mycobacteriales; Nocardiaceae
Description: bacterial SSU rRNA
Rfam family: Bacterial small subunit ribosomal RNA
Source: RNAcentral
UACUGCGCGGUGCAUGCCGUGUGGUGGAAAGAUUUAUCGGUGCAGGAUGGGCCCGCGGCCUAUCAGCUUGUUGGUGGGGUAAUGGCCUACCAAGGCGACGACGGGUAGCCGGCCUGAGAGGGCGACCGGCCACACUGGGACUGAGACACGGCCCAGACUCCUACGGGAGGCAGCAGUGGGGAAUAUUGCACAAUGGGCGCAAGCCUGAUGCAGCGACGCCGCGUGAGGGAUGACGGCCUUCGGGUUGUAAACCUCUUUCAGCAGGGACGAAGCGCAAGUGACGGUACCUGCAGAAGAAGCACCGGCCAACUACGUGCCAGCAGCCGCGGUAAUACGUAGGGUGCAAGCGUUGUCCGGAAUUACUGGGCGUAAAGAGCUCGUAGGCGGUUUGUCGCGUCGUCUGUGAAAACCAGCAGCUCAACUGUUGGCUUGCAGGCGAUACGGGCAGACUUGAGUAUUUCAGGGGAGACUGGAAUUCCUGGUGUAGCGGUGAAAUGCGCAGAUAUCAGGAGGAACACCGGUGGCGAAGGCGGGUCUCUGGGAAAUAACUGACGCUGAGGAGCGAAAGCGUGGGUAGCGAACAGGAUUAGAUACCCUGGUAGUCCACGCCGUAAACGGUGGGCGCUAGGUGUGGGUUUCCUUCC